AGCCACCCAACAGAAAGUCCUUUGUGUAUUCUGCGAGAAUAGUAAAAGAUUGGAUUUUUACCCGUGAUAUUGCGUGUUUCCUUUGUUUCGUAAGUUUGCAAUAAUCCUAAGUAUCGCACCGUGAGAGGAAAAUGUGCUGACGUAACUUGAUUCUCAGAUUGCUGCAUUAUAGUGUCAAUUUCGAAAAAUGUAACCCUGUAACACUAGGCAUAUGCACAUAACUUUUUGGUGCUUUUGUCAUCGUGAACGUAUUUAUAUUGUACAAAUAAUUAUUAGGG
RNAcentral lists this long non-coding RNA (278 nucleotides) under Nicotiana benthamiana. RNAcentral describes it as "long non-coding RNA (NBEN_LNC032169)". Lineage: Eukaryota; Viridiplantae; Streptophyta; Magnoliopsida; Solanales; Solanaceae. The record is from RNAcentral.